AGUAAAAUUUUUGUUGAAGUUCAUUUCUAUUAACCCCAAUUUUUAAAGUCAGUAGUUUUGUUAUUUUAUUUUAAAUUAUUUUGUAUAUAAUUUCAAAUAAAAUAAUUAGGUGUAUCUGCAAAACCUAGAAUCGAAAUCUAAAACAAACUAUUUUGUAAUGUCAAAGAAAUUCUCUUAAAGUAGAAUGAUUGAGUACAUCACCUGUUUUGACGUAAUGUAAUGUGCCAAUGACGUAAAUUCCUCACUUUGGUAGCCCUACACCAUUUUUAUUCGUCAUUCAAAGUAUCUGUAAUUUAUACCGUAAACAAUGAAACUGGUGGCAAAAUCGACAACAACGUAACAGGACCGGGGAAGGAAUGCCAGAAUGCCACUUGGAAAAUCUGCAGGAGCAGUCUCUUUUUACAUCAUUUAAAAAUUAUAGUCUAAAACAUAAAGUGAGCUACUAAAUAAAUUCCACAAGGGAUGAGCUUAUGGUUGUGGUGUAGAUGAAAUAUUUUUUAGUCCAGAUAUUUUAUUUUGUCGUAUUAGUUUUUCUUAAAUAUAAAUUUUUUAACGAUAA
Molecule: long non-coding RNA, 559 nt
Organism: Zophobas morio
Lineage: Eukaryota; Metazoa; Arthropoda; Insecta; Coleoptera; Tenebrionidae
Exons: 2
Source: RefSeq, a predicted model, not a curated record